Molecule: ribosomal RNA, 390 nt
Filed under: uncultured bacterium
Lineage: Bacteria
Description: bacterial SSU rRNA
Rfam family: Bacterial small subunit ribosomal RNA
Source: RNAcentral
GACGAACGCUGGCGGUGUGCUUCAAACAUGCAAGUCGAGGGAGGGUUGGCGAGUGGCUUGCCAUUCGUUCAACUCUACCGGCGAACGGGUGAGUAACACGUGGGCAAUCUGCCCUGAAGACGGGGACAACCUCGGGAAACCGGGCUAAUACCCGACAUCCUCCACGGGGGGCAUCCUCUGAGGAGGAAAAGGUACCGCAAGGUCUGCUUCAGGAUGAGCCCGCGGCCUAUCAGCUAGUUGGGGGGUAACGGGCCUACCAAGGCUAUGACGGGUAGCUGGUCUGAGAGGACGAUCAGCCACACUGGGACUGAGACACGGCCCAGACUCCUACGGGGAGGCAGCAGUUGGGAAUUUUGGGCAAUGGGCGCAAGCCUGACCCAGCGACACCGC